This 253-nucleotide ribosomal RNA is filed under the name uncultured bacterium. RNAcentral describes it as "partial 16S ribosomal RNA". It matches the Rfam family "Bacterial small subunit ribosomal RNA", at positions 524 to 776 of the family's 1533-position model. The record is from RNAcentral.
UACAGAGGGUGCGAGCGUUGUUCGGAAUUAUUGGGCGUAAAGGGCGCGUAGGCGGUGCGGUAAGUCACCUGUGAAAUCUCCUGGCUCAACUGGGAGCUUGCAGGCGAAACUGCCGUGCUGGAGUGUGGGAGAGGUGAGUGGAAUUCCCGGUGUAGCGGUGAAAUGCGUAGAUAUCGUCAGGAACGCCAAUGGUGAAGACAGGUAACUGGGCUAGUUCUGACACUGAGGCACGAAAGCGUGGGGAGCGAACGGG